This 253-nucleotide ribosomal RNA is filed under the name uncultured bacterium. Its description in RNAcentral is "partial 16S ribosomal RNA". It matches the Rfam family "Bacterial small subunit ribosomal RNA", at positions 524 to 776 of the family's 1533-position model. The record is from RNAcentral.
UACAGAGGGUGCAAGCGUUGUUCGGAAUUAUUGGGCGUAAAGGGCGCGUAGGCGGUGCGGUAAGUCUGUAGUGAAAUCUCUGGGCUCAACUCAGAGUCUGCUGCAGAAACUGCCGUGCUUGAGUGUGGGAGAGGUGAGUGGAAUUCCCGGUGUAGAGGUGAAAUUCGUAGAUAUCAGGAGGAACACCGGUGGCGAAGGCGGCCAUCUGGACGACAACUGACGCUGAGGCGCGAAAGCGUGGGGAUCAAACAGG